CGGGGGGGCAAGGCGUUGUUCGGAAUUACUGGGCGUAAAGGGCGCGUAGGCGGCCUGCUAAGUCGGACGUGAAAUCCCUCGGCUCAACCGGGGAACUGCGUCCGAUACUGGUGGGCUCGAAUCCGGGAGAGGGAUGUGGAAUUCCAGGUGUAGCGGUGAAAUGCGUAGAUAUCUGGAGGAACACCGGUGGCGAAGGCGGCAUCCUGGACCGGUAUUGACGCUGAUGCGCGAAAGCCAGGGGAGCAAACGGGAUUAGAUACCCCGGUAGUCCUGGCCCUAAACGAUGAGUGCUUGGUGUGGCGGGUAUCGAUCCCUGCCGUGCCGAAGCUAACGCAUUAAGCACUCCGCCUGGGGAGUACGGUCGCAAGGCUG
This 372-nucleotide ribosomal RNA is filed under the name uncultured organism. Its description in RNAcentral is "bacterial SSU rRNA". It matches the Rfam family "Bacterial small subunit ribosomal RNA", at positions 526 to 896 of the family's 1533-position model. The record is from RNAcentral.